CUGGCGGCGUGCCUAAUACAUGUUAGAAGAGGGAACAGAGAAAGUGCUUGCACUUUCAAAGUUACCGGCGGACGGGUGAGUAACACGUAAGGAACCUACCGAUAAGCGGGGGACAACAUCCGGAAACGGGUGCUAAUACCGCAUAGGAAGUUUGUUCGCAUGAACAAACUUAGAAAGAUGGCUCUGCUAUCACUUAUUGAUGGCCUUGUGGUGCAUUAACUAGUUGGCGAGGUAACGGCUCACCAAGGUGAUGAUGCAUAGCCGACCUGAGAGGGUAAUCGGCCACAUUGGGACUGAGACACGGCCCACACUCCUACGGGAGGCAGCAGUGGGGAAUCUUCCGCAAUGGACGAAAGUCUGACGGAUCAACGCCGCGUGAGUGAAGAAGGUCUUCGGAUUGUAAAGCUCUGAUAUACGGGACGAAAAAGACGGAUGCCAACAUUAUCCGUCUGUGACG
Molecule: ribosomal RNA, 457 nt
Filed under: uncultured bacterium
Lineage: Bacteria
Description: bacterial SSU rRNA
Rfam family: Bacterial small subunit ribosomal RNA
Source: RNAcentral